RNAcentral lists this ribosomal RNA (255 nucleotides) under uncultured bacterium. RNAcentral describes it as "partial 16S ribosomal RNA". It matches the Rfam family "Bacterial small subunit ribosomal RNA", at positions 1246 to 1500 of the family's 1533-position model. The record is from RNAcentral.
GAGGCGAGACCGCGAGGUGGAGCAAAUCUCAAAAAGACCGUCCCAGUUCGGAUCGCAGGCUGCAACCCGCCUGCGUGAAGUUGGAAUCGCUAGUAAUCGCGGAUCAGCAUGCCGCGGUGAAUACGUUCCCGGGCCUUGUACACACCGCCCGUCACACCAUGAGAGUCGGGAACACCCGAAGUCCGUAGCCUAACCGCAAGGGGGGCGCGGCCGAAGGUGGGUUCGAUAAUUGGGGUGAAGUCGUAACAAGGUAAC